Molecule: ribosomal RNA, 253 nt
Filed under: uncultured bacterium
Lineage: Bacteria
Description: partial 16S ribosomal RNA
Rfam family: Bacterial small subunit ribosomal RNA
Source: RNAcentral
UACGUAAGGUGCAAGCGUUAAUCGGAAUUACUGGGCGUAAAGCGUGCGCAGGCGGUUUUGUAAGUCUGACGUGAAAUCCCCGGGCUCAACCUGGGAAUUGCGUUGGAGACUGCAAGGCUGGAGUCUGGCAGAGGGGGGUAGAAUUCCACGUGUAGCAGUGAAAUGCGUAGAGAUGUGGAGGAACACCGAUGGCGAAGGCAGCCCCCUGGGUCAAGACUGACGCUCAUGCACGAAAGCGUGGGGAGCAAACAGG